AUGCCUGUUCGAGCGUCAUUAUGACCAAUCAAGCCUGGCUUGGUGUUGGGGUUCGCGGUUCCGCGGCCCUUAAAAUCAGUGGCGGUGCGUCUGGCUCUAAGCGUAGUAAUUUUCUCGCUAUGGAGUCCAGGUGGUUACCUGCCAGAAUCCCCCAUCUCACGGUUGACCUCGGAUCAGGUAGGGAUACCCGCUGAACUUAA
This 200-nucleotide unclassified non-coding RNA is filed under the name soil metagenome. RNAcentral's name for it is "partial contains internal transcribed spacer 2 and large subunit ribosomal RNA". The record is from RNAcentral.